UUGGACUAAAAGUCAAAGUAUCAACGGUGCUGUCUAUGUUGGAUAACUGUCGACAAUCCUUGGAGAACCAGCA
RNAcentral lists this non-coding RNA (73 nucleotides) under Skeletonema menzelii. Lineage: Eukaryota; Bacillariophyta; Thalassiosirophyceae; Thalassiosirales; Thalassiosiraceae. The record is from RNAcentral.